RNAcentral lists this unclassified non-coding RNA (359 nucleotides) under Hevea brasiliensis (rubber tree). Lineage: Eukaryota; Viridiplantae; Streptophyta; Magnoliopsida; Malpighiales; Euphorbiaceae. The record is from RNAcentral.
AAGAACCAGAACGGUGGACCGCCAUGCGGGCAGGUGUCGGGAAAACUUCUCUUGUUCAUCUGAUUGUCAAAGGUUCUUCUGUUGCUCGCCCUCCUCAGACAGUUGGAUGUACAGUUGGUGUAAAGCACAUUACUUACAUGAAUUCUGGUAGCUCUUCAAGCAGCAUUAAAGGUGAUGCAGAGAGAGAUUUCUUUGUAGAACUAUGGGAUGUGUCAGGGCAUGACAGAUAUAAAGAUUGCCGGUCUUUGUUCUACUCGCAGAUAAAUGGGGUUAUUUUUGUACAUGAUCUCUCCCAGAGAAGAACUAAAACAAGCUUGCAGAAAUGGGCAUCUGAAAUUGCUGCAACUGGGACAUUUUCA